Molecule: ribosomal RNA, 520 nt
Filed under: uncultured Glomus
Lineage: Eukaryota; Fungi; Glomeromycota; Glomeromycetes; Glomerales; Glomeraceae
Description: SSU rRNA
Rfam family: Eukaryotic small subunit ribosomal RNA
Source: RNAcentral
AGCAGCCGCGGUAAUUCCAGCUCCAAUAGCGUAUAUUAAAGUUGUUGCAGUUAAAAAGCUCGUAGUUGAAUUUCGGGAUCAAUUAAUCGGUCGUGCCUCUGGUACGUACUGGUUUUAUUGGUUCCUCCCUUCUGACGAAACACGAUGUCAUUAAUUUGGUGUCGUGGAGAAUCAGGACUGUUACCUUGAAAAAAUUAGAAGUGUUUAUAGCAGGCUAACGCUUGAAUACAUUAGCAUGGAAUAAUGAAAUAGGACGUUCGACCCUAUUUUGUUGGUUUCUAGGAUCGACGUAAUGAUUAAUAGGGAUAGUUGGGGGCAUUAGUAUUCAAUUGUCAGAGGUGAAAUUCUUGGAUUUAUUGAAGACUAACUACUGCGAAAGCAUUUGCCAAGGAUGUUUUCAUUAAUCAAGAACGAAAGUUAGGGGAUCGAAGACGAUCAGAUACCGUCGUAGUCUUAACCAUAAACUAUGCCGACUAGGGAUCGGAUGAUGUUAAUUUUUAAUGUACUCAUUCGGCGCCUU